GAUGAAGAACGUAGCGAAACGCGAUAAGUAAUGUGAAUUGCAGAAUUCAGUGAAUCAUCGAAUCUUUGAACGCACCUUGCGCCCUUUGGCCAUUCCGAAGGGCAUGCCUGUUUGAGUAUCAUGAACACCUCAACUCUUUAUGGUUUUCCAUGAUGAGCUUGGACUCUGGGGGUUUUGCUGGCUCACAGUCGGCUCCUCUAAAAUGAAUCAGCUUACCAGUGUUUGGUGGGUAUCAUGGGUGUGAUAACUAUCUACGCUUGUGGUUUUUCCACCAGGUAACCUUCAGCAGUGGAGGUUCGCUGGAGCUCAUAGAUGUCUCUCCUCAGUGAGGACAGCCCUUUGAAUGUUUGAUCUCAAAUCAGGUAGGACUACCCGCUGAACUUAAGCAUAUCAAUAAGCGGAGGA
Molecule: unclassified non-coding RNA, 405 nt
Filed under: soil metagenome
Description: partial contains 5.8S ribosomal RNA, internal transcribed spacer 2, and large subunit ribosomal RNA
Rfam family: 5.8S ribosomal RNA (bases 1-121)
Source: RNAcentral